CAAGUCGAGCGGCAGCGGGAAGUAGUUUACUACUUUGCCGGCGAGCGGCGGACGGGUGAGUAAUGUCUGGGGAUCUGCCUGAUGGAGGGGGAUAACUACUGGAAACGGUAGCUAAUACCGCAUGACCUCGCAAGAGCAAAGUGGGGGACCUUAGGGCCUCACGCCAUCGGAUGAACCCAGAUGGGAUUAGCUAGUAGGUGGGGUAAUGGCUCACCUAGGCGACGAUCCCUAGCUGGUCUGAGAGGAUGACCAGCCACACUGGAACUGAGACACGGUCCAGACUCCUACGGGAGGCAGCAGUGGGGAAUAUUGCACAAUGGGCGCAAGCCUGAUGCAGCCAUGCCGCGUGUGUGAAGAAGGCCUUCGGGUUGUAAAGCACUUUCAGCGAGGAGGAAGGGGUUGAGUUUAAU
This 410-nucleotide ribosomal RNA is filed under the name Yersinia pestis. RNAcentral describes it as "bacterial SSU rRNA". It matches the Rfam family "Bacterial small subunit ribosomal RNA", at positions 58 to 464 of the family's 1533-position model. Lineage: Bacteria; Pseudomonadati; Pseudomonadota; Gammaproteobacteria; Enterobacterales; Yersiniaceae. RNAcentral also lists the same sequence under 1 other name. The record is from RNAcentral.